UCCAAGGAGAUGGGGAAGGUCAC
RNAcentral lists this non-coding RNA (23 nucleotides) under Rattus norvegicus (Norway rat). Lineage: Eukaryota; Metazoa; Chordata; Mammalia; Rodentia; Muridae. The record is from RNAcentral.